Long non-coding RNA from Ornithorhynchus anatinus (platypus), 659 nucleotides. RefSeq lists it as uncharacterized. The record is from RefSeq and is a predicted model, not a curated record. Lineage: Eukaryota; Metazoa; Chordata; Mammalia; Monotremata; Ornithorhynchidae. The transcript has 5 exons.
GUUGAUGUGCGCAGAGGUCUUUAAGCAACUAGAAGUGAGACUGUCUCUUGUCCCGUACCACCUCUUCACACUGUUUACUUAUCGACAUUCUUCCCCCAAAUCUGUCCUGGAGUACCUCGUGAUUCAUCCAGCUAAAGUGGUCUGGGGUGGUUUCCAAGUCUGCUCUUUCUAAUUCCAUUCCCACCAUAAAAAGGAAGCUAUAUAUGAGAGAAACUGGAGAAAGCAUGUAUCUAGUGUUAGUCCUUGGGGAGCCAGUCUGGAAGAGCAUGAGAUUGAAGGACCAAAGCAGCAGGGGAAAAGUGGUUUUCAGCCUCUACAUUGUUGAGGGCAGCAGCCGCUUUAUGUGAGUGGGCUAAAUUACCCAGGAGUGAUUCUUUGGCUCUCUGUAUCCAUUAGCUUAUCAACAGGAAAAAGAAGAGAACCACACCUGCAAUGAUCUGAAGAUGGAUGAAGAUGAAUGAUACAAUUACGAUGACCGAAUCACCACAGUAGAGUCUGAGGGACUGGUUGCCUGUGGGAAGAAAAGAUGGCAAUGAUUAACCGGAUCUGCAGAAAUGGUUGUCUUGUCUGAUGCUGUGGAGUGGUCUCCGACCCAUAGCGACUCCAUGGACACAUCUCUCCCAGAGCGUCCCGCUUCCGUCUGCAAUCAUUCUGGUAGU